RNAcentral lists this long non-coding RNA (2288 nucleotides) under Sus scrofa (pig). RNAcentral's name for it is "lncRNA (ENSSSCG00060015055.1)". The record is from RNAcentral. Lineage: Eukaryota; Metazoa; Chordata; Mammalia; Artiodactyla; Suidae.
UUUUUUCCAUCAAAGCAUGAAUUAAUGUUGAACUUUCCCAAAUAGUAUCUUUCUUAAAUGUGCAACUUAGGAGAGCUUACAUCUUGUCUGGGAAAGAAGGCAGCUAUUAGGUUGUGAAAGUACAUACCUUGUGUUGUCAGCAGAAAAUUUAAAACAUUAGUGUUAUUUGUGGCAAAAACUGGCACAGGUUUCUAUGAAAGCAUCACAAUUGGAGUGGAGUUCUCUGUUCUAUUCUCCCUUAGAGCACCACCCCGGGAGGGCUAAUGUGCUGCAUUCAGCAGUGGCAAUUUUACAUUUAUUUCUGUGAUUCUUUGAAUUUAUUCAUCCUUCUCAUUGGACACUAAACUCCAAAGGGCAGAAGCCUAUUUUUUUUUCUACCUUCUAUUAUUUCUGAAACCUCUCUGCUUGGCACAGAGUAUAGGAUAAAGACAUAUUUGCUAAGCAAGAAAAUAAAUAAAUAUGAAAGAUGAGACGAUACAAUGAGUAUUGUUUUGGAGCUUUCGCAGUUUCUCCUCUAGCUUAAUAUGUAACCUCAAAACUAACCUAUCAUGUGCUGGUGAGAUAACACCUUUUUUCAUCCUCAAUGUGAGAGGUGAGGACAGUGAAGGACAGAGCCUUCCCUUAUGAAAAGAAAAAAUUCAUUUGUAGUUUUAAUAAAAGUAUCAAGGUUUUGAAUUUUCUACACAUAGUCAAUCAUUUUAAGUUAUAGUGACAAAUUGGUUAAGUGUGGGGGACUUGGGGCCGUUUGCUCCAGUGGCUGCAAUGCUUGCACCUGGACAAACAUCUCCUUGAAUGUUUAAAAAAAUUAAAAAUGUUUUUAAAAACAUUAAAAAAAUACACAUAAGCUAUAAGGACUGAAGACAACUCUGGACAGGCAGCGUUGGGGCAAAUCAGGGCCAAGAAGAUACAAAAUAAUCAGGGAGUUCCUGUUGUGGCUCAGCAGAAACAAAUCUGAGCAGCAUCCAUGAGGACCCAGUUUCAAUCCCUGGUCUCGGUCAGUUGGUUAAGGGUCCAAUGCUGCUGUGAGCCUGUGGCAUAGAUUGCAGACAUGGCUCAGAUCCCACAUUGCUGCCACUGCUCCAAUUCAAUCCCUAUCCUGGGAACCUCCAAUAUGUCAUGGGCCCAGCCCUAAAAAGAAAAAAAAAAAAAAGAUACAAAAGAAUCUAAAAACCCAACUGCCACUUCUUAAGAGCCCAGAGCAAAAACAGGGUGUGGGGAGCAAAAGCAAGUACUAUGCCUGCCCCUGCAUACAGCACCACCAAAGUGCUGGGCAGACCACCUCAGCCACCCCUCUGGCCUGACCUCUGGACCUGCCCCUACCCUCUCCCAUGUAAGGAACCAGAUGUGCCCCCACCCCCAGAAAGGGAGCAAGCAAGGGAACCUGUUUGUUGUGCCCACCCUCCACCCCUUAGGCAGAAUCGUCCCCUAUAAAGCCUAACCCGCAUUUUCCUGUCUGGCCUCUUAUUAAUUUCCAUUGAUUAAGGAGGCCAGAGAAGAAAUUUAGGUUAAGUCUUUACUGGGGCCCCCCCUGCAAUGAGGAGAGUGAAAUCAUAAAAUGAGCCCCCUUGCUUCCUUGUUGGAGGUGGGGGGAGCUGGUUCCUCAUAUGGGGUGAAGGUAGAGGCAGGUUCGGGGUCAGGUCAAAGGGGUGACUGAGGCGGUGAUCUGGCCACACCAUUGGUGGUGCUGUGUGCUGGGUGUAUGUGUAGCAACCUGCUUUUGCUUUCCACACCAUGCUUUUGCUCUGGGCUUGUUGGCACAAGUCCCUCUGUCCAAAGCACAGUGAGGCUAAACAAACCAAAAUGUCAGUUUAGAGAACAGCAAUGUGUACUACAGGGCCAUGCAGGGAGAUGAGUGGCUUGUGCCCCCAAAUAUCCCGAAUUCCCUGAACCAAAAUUCCAAAGCCUUUUUAUUUGUAUUUGCAAUAUUUUUAUUUUUGGCCCUCCUGCAGCACACGGAGUUCCCAGGCCAGGGAUCACAUUGAUCCCUACUUGCGAUGCAGCUGCAGAUGUAGCGAUGUUGAAUCCUUAACCCACUGUUCUGGGCUGGGAAUUGAACCCGUGUUCCAGUGCUCCAGACACCCCACCAAUCCCUUUUCACAACAGUGGAACUCUGAAAUGAAAUUUCAAGGCAGGGUGAGGAAGGGGCAUGGUUGGGUGAUGCAAACUUCUUGGUACAGAAAUCUUUUGUUCUUGUGGCUGCCCAAGGAGGUCAGGUCAGGAUGUUCCUGGAAAUGUCCAGCAAGAUAAAUGUUAUACUUCAGAGAGGAGCUAAUGCAGAGGAUCUGGGG